UACGGGGGGGGCAAGCGUUGUUCGGAAUUACUGGGCGUAAAGGGCUCGUAGGCGGCCUACUAAGUCAUACGUGAAAUCCCUCGGCUUAACCGGGGAACUGCGUCUGAUACUGGAUGGCUUGAGUUCGGGAGAGGGAUGCGGAAUUCCAGGUGUAGCGGUGAAAUGCGUAGAUAUCUGGAGGAACACCGGUGGCGAAGGCGGCAUCCUGGACCGAUACUGACGCUGAGGAGCGAAAGCCAGGGGAGCAAACGGG
RNAcentral lists this ribosomal RNA (253 nucleotides) under uncultured bacterium. Its description in RNAcentral is "partial 16S ribosomal RNA". It matches the Rfam family "Bacterial small subunit ribosomal RNA", at positions 524 to 776 of the family's 1533-position model. The record is from RNAcentral.